RNAcentral lists this ribosomal RNA (301 nucleotides) under uncultured bacterium. RNAcentral describes it as "partial 16S ribosomal RNA". It matches the Rfam family "Bacterial small subunit ribosomal RNA", at positions 509 to 807 of the family's 1533-position model. The record is from RNAcentral.
CAGUCGCCGCGGGAAUACGAAGGGGGCUAGCGUUGUUCGGAAUCACUGGGCGUAAAGGGUGCGUAGGCGGAUUUUUAAGUCAGGGGUGAAAUCACGAGGCUCAACCUCGGAACUGCCUUUGAUACUGGGGAUCUUGAGUCCGGAAGAGGUGAGUGGAACUGCGAGUGUAGAGGUGAAAUUCGUAGAUAUUCGCAAGAACACCGGUGGCGAAGGCGGCUCACUGGUCCGGAACUGACGCUGAGGCACGAAAGCGUGGGGAGCAAACAGGAUUAGAUACCCGCGUAGUCCCUGUCUCUUAUAC